RNAcentral lists this ribosomal RNA (498 nucleotides) under uncultured bacterium. Its description in RNAcentral is "partial 16S ribosomal RNA". It matches the Rfam family "Bacterial small subunit ribosomal RNA", at positions 29 to 523 of the family's 1533-position model. The record is from RNAcentral.
AUUGAACGCUGGCGGCAUGCCUUACACAUGCAAGUCGAACGGUAACGCGGGGCAACCUGGCGACGAGUGGCGAACGGGUGAGUAAUGCAUCGGAACGUGCCCGAUAGUGGGGGAUAGCCCGGCGAAAGCCGGAUUAAUACCGCAUACGACCUGAGGGUGAAAGCGGGGGACCGUAAGGCCUCGCGCUAUUGGAGCGGCCGAUGUCAGAUUAGGUAGUUGGUGGGGUAAAGGCCUACCAAGCCUGCGAUCUGGAGCGGGUCUGAGAGGACGACCAGCCACACUGGGACAGAGACACGGCCCAGACUCCUACGGGAGGCAGCAGGGGGGAAUUUUGGACAAUGGGCGCAAGCCUGAUCCAGCCAUGCCGCGUGCGGGAAGAAGGCCUUCGGGUUGUAAACCGCUUUUGUCAGGGAAGAAACGCUCUGGGUUAAUACCCUGGGGUAAUGACGGUACCUGAAGAAUAAGCACCGGCUAACUACGUGCCAGCCGCCGCUGUAA